GUGACUUUCACUAAGAUGUACAGAGCAUUUUAGAAGACAUAGUUUGUGUCAUGUGGGAGUUUAAAAUCUGAAAGCCAAGAGGCCAUUAAAAAUCAAGAGCCAAGGUGACCACAUCAGUCUGGAACCAUGAGUUGCACUGUACACAGAGGAUUGAAAGGAUAGACCUGAGAGGGCUGGGACACGUGCAGAAGCACAAGUGCAGCUGCCGUUCUGUGAGGAAGCCCCAGCAGCCGAGUGGAGAGGCCCCCGCCGGAGAGGAACGGAGCUCGCCUGAACUCCCCGCCAGCAGCCGGUCCAGCUGAGCCAGGCGAGUGAAGCCAUUCUGUGCCUCCCAGCCAUUCCAGGGUCCCCGCGGACCCUGCACGAAGAAGAAAAGCCACCUGGUCAACCGACAGAAUUGCCCGCUGCCCAGAGACAACAUCUCUGGCUGUUCCUGUUUGUGGUUUUUCUCCAGACUGCAUAUCACGAAUGUGUACCUCCAUUCCUCGGUUACCGUCUUCAGACGAGAGCUCUUCACGCCGCGAUAGCUAAGCUGAGGGUUUAGCUCACUGCUCCCAGUGGCUGAACGUCCUGUUACCGUCUUUGGUUCCCGGGUGAGCAUCUCCUAAUCCAACAACAGUUGCUGAUGUCUCUGGAUUCCCAGCUUUGUCAGAUGAGGAUGUCAGCACCCUGUCCCUUCCUUUCUGCUUUUCUCCUCCCUCCAGUAGCCUGUAUUCUGUGGCUCUAUUUCAACCACUUCACAGCACUGCGUUGUGUAACCUAGGGUGCAUGCCUCCUAGGGGAGCGUCCACGAAUUCCUCGAAAUUAGGUGCAAAACUGUGUGUGUAUUUACAUUCCAUUUCCUGGGGAGAAUUCAGAACUUCCAUCAGGUUCUCGAAGGGGUGCUAAGAUCCAAAGGUGGAAUACUGGACCUUAUACUGGCGUCUCCCACCUGCCCCCAGGUCCACCCUCACAUCUCAUCCCCAUCGCCCAGGGGGCUGACUCACACGUGAUGGGCAUCAGCAGUUCUCACGCACUUGGCUUCUGUCUGGGUUCAGCCUGGGGGGGCCUUGGGGGGUGUCAGAGGAGAGGAGGAGGGUGAAGAAGGGCACGCCUCUCAGCAGGGCCGUCUCAGACUGGCUGCACCUCACUGAAGGACCCUGCUCCACACGGCUCUCUCCUUUGAUUCCAGGAACCACUCCAUCUCCUGGGACUUCAGCUGCAGAGGUGAUAAUGGCUUAGUUGCUCCUAGCCUUUAGGUCACUGCCAUUGUCCCUUGUGGUCCUACCACACCCCACCCACACCUUUGUAAAUUGUCCCUUUAAUAACCCACCUUGAGUUAUCCUAAUCUGGCUGUGGCAUUUGUUUCCUGUUGGGACUCUAUUAUUGAUCAGGUUCCUUGGACACAGACUCUGAGAUGGAGGUUGUGUGUGGGGUGCUUUGGGCAAAGGGAGAAUUGAACUGUGGUGUUAUCUCAGUGGGGGUCUGAGCUGACCCUGUGGGAGAUCUGAAGCUGGGAUAGCCUUUAGAGUUAUCCCGAAUCCAGGCAAAGGGGCAGGCCUUGACCGACACCCCCAAAGACCAGUCAGUAGAUACCAGGAGGGGAUGUAACCUUGGGUAAAGUAAAUUUCUCCAGGUGGGAGCAGGAAGGGCCUACUGGCAGCAGCACUAGCCCUCCCCUGGGACAGUGAGAGCCCAGGUGUCGAAGGGGCUGGGGGAACGCCUGCGGAACCCACUACAGCCCUGACCCGGCUCUGGCCUUCUAGACUAGGUCUUUGUUCCCUGCAUCCUGAUCCCUAGCCGUGGCUGGCACACAGUAGGCACUCAGUAAAUGUCUGUGGAAUGAAUGGAUGGUGUAAGAAGCUUCUUAGAUUAAAAUUCAUGACCUCAGAGCUCUUGUGUGUCACUGUUUUUUUUAAUUUAACUUUUUGUCUUGAAAUAGUUUCACACUUACAGAAAACAUAUAAAAAUAGGACAAAAAAAGUCAUCCAGAUUUCCCAAUUAUUAACAUUUUGCACUCAUCCCUCACUCUCUCUCUCUAUACAUAUAUAUACACAUAAAUACCCUCAUACUAUUAUUGUUAUUAUUAUUAUUAGUUUAUGGAACACUUGAGAAAGUUGGAGACCUCCAGCUCCUUUACCCCUAAAUACUACAGUGUAUAUCUCUAAAACACAAGGGCAUCUUCCUGUCCUCAGUACAACUUAUCAAAUUCAAGAGAUCUGACAUUGACUCAACGCUUUUAUCUAAUGCACGAUCCCUGUACACAUUUCCCCACUUGUCCCUAUCAUGUCCUGUAUAGAACCCCCUCCCCGGAUUGGGGAUCUGAUCCCAGGUCACACAGUGCAUUCAGCUGGCAUGUCUCUCUCUCUCCUAUCUUUGUCCUGUAUGACCUUGGCAUUUUUGAGAUCCACAGACCAAUUGUUUUGGGAAACGCUCUUCAGUUUGGGUCUGUUGCCUCAGGAUGAGACUCAGGUGAUGCUUUUUGUCAGGAGUAGGAUCCCGCCUAUCCCUCUUCAUCUCCAGACCUGGCAGGUUCAAAGUUCACAGCGUCUCUCAUCCCACAGGGAGGAGCCCCUCUACCUAGUUUCUAUUCUUAUGUCAAGGUCCAAGAGUUAAAUGACCUACUCGAGGGGGGUCGCACACUUAGGGAAUGACUGAGCCGAGGUCAAAUCUAGGUGUCCUUAGCUGCAGCUCAGAAUCUUUUCUGUCACACCCAGUAAAACAAAUGACAGUGACAAACACGUUUUUAUUCACAGCCUUUCCGCUCGCCUCUGUCUGGCCUUCCUAACCCAGCCCUUUGUUGUGUUAAUUGGGGUAACGGGUGGGGACGCCACAGGAAAAUGCUAGAGUUAGAAAGGCUAAAUUGAUUUUCAAAAGAAAGCACUUAGAGCUACUCUCCGAAGGAAGCUCUCUUGGCGAGGGUGUGGGAGAGAGGGGAAGAGGGGGUGAGUGAGACAGAAAGCUGGCAGGGCCUGGAGAGGGUGAGGGUGAGAGAGGCAAGUGAGUAGCAUCUGCCCUGUGGUGUGGACUUCGGAGAGAGAGACGGGUACAAGGCGUUUUCAGGAAGUGUACAGUGGGCUGUGGUCCCCCAAACUCCUCUCCUUCCUCUCCUCCUGUGUUUGCCUCUUCAAGAGACUUUAGAAAAAAAUUUUUCAAGGCUUUGGGAGAGGACCAUGUUCCAUUUGAAUUAAACUCUGUGUUCAGACUGGCCCCGAGGUUACAUAUUCUGGUUACAUGCGAAUGGAGGUGAUUUCCUUUGGGUGGACUGUAAGGGCUGCUUUUGUGCAAUAAACACUUACAGGUGUAGGAGAUCAAGAUUUGGCCACCCUGGAAUAUAUCUCUUUACCUUGAUUGUUUUCUCUGAUGGACAUUUGACCUCCCCCACUAACUGCCUAAAGAAUUUGACACAGUAACUCCUUCAUGGAACAGAUCUUCUAUCUGAUGGCUGUAAUAUAAUGUAAAAUAGAUGUUACAAUAGGAAAGGCACCAACAAGCCCAUCUUAUCGGAAGUUCUCUCUCCCUGGCCACAUUCUCUGGAUGGCCCUGCGAGGAGUUGCCAGACAAACAUUUACAUUUAUAAGGGAACUCUCCAUUUGUAAAGGUAUCUCCCUCUCUGUAUUGGGAAGAGGGGGGAUGACCUCAUUUCUAGAAACUUAUCAAUGUGGAAGUUGAGGCCUUAAAUCUGCAUAAUAACCUUACUCUUGUUUACUGUGCUUUAGUGGUAAUCUCCUGUAACUGACUCCCCCCACCCCCAACAUCCUUCUUUGUCAUUGGCUGAAUAUGGUAUUUAAGACGAGAAUCUCUGCUAUUGUGUUGAGAAACGCAGUGUCCCUGCUUUCUCCCAUGUAUACAUGUUAUUAAACUUGGUAU
This is a long non-coding RNA of Diceros bicornis minor, 3849 nucleotides long. RefSeq lists it as uncharacterized. Lineage: Eukaryota; Metazoa; Chordata; Mammalia; Perissodactyla; Rhinocerotidae. The record is from RefSeq and is a predicted model, not a curated record. The transcript is spliced from 3 exons.